CUAUUCUCAUCCAAUUUGGA
This 20-nucleotide small nuclear RNA is filed under the name Arabidopsis thaliana (thale cress). Its description in RNAcentral is "snRNA_10915". The record is from RNAcentral. Lineage: Eukaryota; Viridiplantae; Streptophyta; Magnoliopsida; Brassicales; Brassicaceae.